RNAcentral lists this transfer RNA (72 nucleotides) under Deinococcus aerius. It matches the Rfam family "tRNA". Rfam says of the family: Transfer RNA (tRNA) molecules are approximately 80 nucleotides in length. Their secondary structure includes four short double-helical elements and three loops (D, anti-codon, and T loops). Lineage: Bacteria; Thermotogati; Deinococcota; Deinococci; Deinococcales; Deinococcaceae. The record is from Rfam by way of RNAcentral.
GGGGGUUUAGCUCAGCGGGAGAGCGGGGUCUUUGCAAGGCUCAGGUCGAGAGUUCGAAUCUCUCAACCUCCA